GAAAUGAAUGAGAUAUCCCACACUAAAAUAGAAAGAAAACAGAAAUAUUAACAUGGUCCUUAUGCAAGGAAUAGACACAUAUUCUUGAAACAUUCUAUAUUUUU
This 104-nucleotide small nuclear RNA is filed under the name Loxodonta africana (African savanna elephant). Lineage: Eukaryota; Metazoa; Chordata; Mammalia; Proboscidea; Elephantidae. The record is from RNAcentral.